Molecule: RNA transcript, 4280 nt
Organism: Pan troglodytes (chimpanzee)
Lineage: Eukaryota; Metazoa; Chordata; Mammalia; Primates; Hominidae
Gene: PIGV
Gene name: phosphatidylinositol glycan anchor biosynthesis class V
Exons: 5
Source: RefSeq, a predicted model, not a curated record
AGCCUUCUUCCAAUCUGAAACCAGGGAGUCAGGGCUUUGAGAGCACAAGAUUCAGCUUCCUUGUUUUCCUGUCAGAGCAGAAGUCAGAAAAUGAAACAGGAAACAGAGCGGAAGAGGAGGGGGUUGGGUAGCAGAGAAGGAAAAGAGAAAUUGCAGGAAAGUACAGCUGAAAAUCUGGAUAAAGUUCUACCUCUACAGGGUGACAGCUGAGCUUUUAAAAAACAUUCUGACUUGUCUUGAGAGACCCCUGGCCUUUUUACAAAUAGAUUUUUGAGAGAAUUUGAUGUGGACAGAGGGAACCCUGAGAAUGCAUGUCUUUUUUCCCCUUGUGAAUUUACAGAGCAAGGACAGUUCAUUUCUCAGUUUUGUCUUUGCAGAGAGAGUGCUGCUUGGAGCCUCAUGGUGGACUUCUAGAGAUUCAAGUCACAGCCUUAGGCCCCAGUCACAAGUGUGUCCCCAGGCUUUGCCACGUUACUCACAGGCCUCUGGAGCUGAGAACAAGUGCGUGGCACUGAAAAACCUGGGGGAAGGGCCAUGAAACUCCAUUUUUCCCCCUUCUCCAACACACAACGACUAAAUAUGAUUUGCCUUUUCUCCACCUUGCACACAACAAAUAUCUGAAGGCAAUUUAGGUCUCAGGGCCUGAAAUGAGUUACAGAGUCAAGAGAUACAGUCCCAGGCCCCCACAGACUGAUGUGGGCUGGUCUUCGCCUAGAGAGGUAGCAACCAUCUCUUUGUUCCCACCCACAUGAGUAGCCGUUGCAGAAGAUAAACCCCUCCCUGAGCCAGGCUGUGGCCAGAGGCUAACCCGGCCCCUGGCUUCGUUUGGAGGGCAGAUAACUGAAACCACAUAAGGCUUUGGAAUCCUGAGAAACAAGAAAUCCACCAACGGAGAAGGAUUUAUCAUCUGUUUCCUUUAAGGAGGGUGCAAAGUUGUUCUAACAGUUUCCGUUACAAGGGUACAAACUGGCCGCUCCCCCCAAUAGACGGUUUUGUUGAGUUCGCCUCUUUUUUUUUCUUCUUUUUUUGGCCCCACUUCCUAUGAGAGAAACUGCUUGGGUGAGGGAGGUGAAAGGAGCCCUGGAGGGUGUUCUCUGAGGUUUUCUUCACCAUCCUCAUUAGCCACCUGAGGUGGGGCUGAGGACUGAAGUAGGACAGAAGGUCUCUGGUAGCUAGAGGAGGGGAAAAUCAGGGGGAUCCCCCACUUUCUUCACACCCAGGACGCAGGGUGCCGCUGCCGGCCACAGAAACCCCAAGAAUGCUUUUCUUUGGCUAUUCAGAGGACAUCUAUUGUGUGUCAGGCCCUGUGCUGAGCUGUUGUUGCCUGACAGCAGGAAGAGCGCGGCUCUGGUUUCUGUGAAGAGGCUGCGGGUCAGCCCCCGACUACAAGAGCCUCGGCCCACAACGGGAACUCAGUGAACGUCAGCGGGAGCUGGGGCAAGAGCACUGACUCUGAGACAGCAGCCUCCGCUCACUAUUUGAAGGCGGGGUGGCGGGGGGCCUUGAAGGAGAGCGAAGUGCGAGAGAACUCUUCAGGUGUCACCAAGAGGCCUGAGGGAGCUCAAUCCUGGUAGCAACACCCCUGAAUUCCUGGUGGUGAGAGGAUGUGGCCCCAGGACCCAUCCCGGAAGGAGGUGCUGAGGUUUGCAGUCAGCUGCCGUAUCCUGACUCUGAUGCUGCAGGCCCUCUUCAAUGCCAUCAUCCCAGAUCACCAUGCAGAAGCCUUCUCUCCUCCUCGCCUGGCCCCCUCAGGCUUUGUGGACCAACUCGUGGAAGGUCUUCUGGGCGGCCUGUCUCACUGGGAUGCUGAACACUUCUUGUUCAUUGCUGAGCAUGGCUACCUGUAUGAGCACAACUUUGCCUUCUUUCCUGGUUUCCCCUUGGCCCUGCUGGUGGGGACUGAACUGUUGAGACCCUUACGGGGGUUACUGAGUCUACGCAGUUGCCUGCUGAUUUCGGUAGCAUCACUCAAUUUCUUGUUCUUCAUGUUGGCUGCAGUUGCACUUCAUGACCUGGGUUGUCUGGUUUUGCACUGUCCCCGCCAGUCCUUUUAUGCAGCUCUGCUUUUCUGUCUCAGCCCUGCCAAUGUCUUCCUGGCAGCUGGUUACUCAGAAGCUUUGUUUGCCCUCCUGACAUUCAGUGCCAUGGGGCAGCUGGAGAGGGGCCGAGUCUGGACUAGUGUACUCCUCUUUGCCAUUGCCACUGGGGUACGCUCCAACGGGCUGGUCAGUGUUGGCUUCCUCAUGCAUUCUCAAUGCCAAGGCUUUUUCUCUUCUCUAACGAUGCUGAAUCCUCUGAGACAGCUCUUUAAGCUGAUGGCCUCUCUGUUUCUGUCGGUGUUCACACUUGGCCUUCCCUUUGCCCUCUUUCAGUAUUAUGCCUACACCCAAUUCUGUCUGCCAGGCUCAGCCCGCCCCAUUCCUGAGCCUUUGGUACAGUUAGCUGUAGACAAGGGCUACCGGAUUGCAGAGGGAAAUGAACCGCCUUGGUGCUUCUGGGAUGUUCCACUAAUAUACAGCUAUAUCCAGGAUGUCUACUGGAAUGUUGGCUUUUUGAAAUACUAUGAGCUCAAGCAGGUGCCCAAUUUUCUACUGGCUGCACCAGUGGCUAUACUGGUUGCCUGGGCAACUUGGACAUACGUGACCACCCACCCUUGGCUCUGCCUUACACUUGGGCUGCAAAGGAGCAAGAACAAUAAGACCCUAGAGAAGCCCGAUCUUGGAUUCCUCAGUCCUCAGGUGUUUGUGUACGUGGUCCACGCUGCAGUGCUGCUGCUGUUUGGAGGUCUGUGCAUGCAUGUUCAGAUGGAGUCUCGUUCUGUUGCCCAGGCUGGAGUGCAGUGGUGCGAUCUCAGCUCACUGCAACCUGUGUCUCCUGGGUUCAAGCGACUCUUCUGCCUCAAUCUCCCGAGUAGCUGGAAUUACAGGCGCCUGCCACCACCGCCUAGCUAAUUUUUGUAUUUUUAGUAGAGAUGGGGUUUCACCACGUUGGCCAGGCUGGUCUCGAAAUCCUGACCUCAAGUGAUCUGCCCGCCUCAUCCUCCUAAAGUGCUGGGAUUACAGGCGUGAGCUACCACGCUCGGCCUGAGAUUUUUUUUUUUUUUUUUUUUGAGACGGAGUCUUGCUCUGUCACCCAGGCUGGAAUGCAGUGGCAUGAUCUCAGCUCACUGCAAGCUCCACCUCCCAGGUUCACGCCAUUCUCCUGCCUCAGCCUCCCGAGUAGCUGGGACUACAGGCACCUGCCACCAUGCCUGGCUAAUUUUUUGUAUUUUUAGUAGAGACGGGAUUUCACCGUGUGAGCCAGGAUGGUCUGGAUCUCCUGACCUCGUGAUCCACCCGCCUUGGCCUCCCAAAGUGUUGGGAUUAUAGGCACGAGCCACCGCGCCCAGCAAGAUUUUUUUUUUUUAAAGCUCAGAUAAAGUAUUAUGGAGGCAAAGAAGAAGUAGGUAACUCACUGGAGUACUUGAGAAAGGCAUCAUAUUUCAGCUGGGUCCUGAAGAAUGAGAUUUUCCAUAUAAGAAGCAGAGGAGGAACAUUCUAGGUUCUCACCAGGUUUUUGGGCUCCUCCACUCCUAUUAUGUACUGGUUUCCAGCUCACUUGCUUCAGGAUCAAGAGCCGCUGUUGAGAUCCUUAAAGACUGUGCCUUGGAAGCCUCUUGCAGAGGACUCCCCACCAGGACAAAAGGUCCCCAGAAAUCCUAUCAUGGGACUUUUGUAUCACUGGAAAACCUGUUCUCCAGUCACACGAUACAUUCUAGGCUACUUCCUGACUUACUGGCUCCUGGGACUACUCCUACAUUGCAACUUCCUGCCUUGGACAUGACCUGGACUCUCCAGGGACAGGUUGGAAGCCAACUUAACCCAGGGGUCUGAAAGUAAAAAUACACAUUGGAACUGCCUCUGCUGCCCUGGGAUCAUUACUGUGUCCAUUAUAAUCUUUCUCUUUCUCUUUGAAAGCUGGUCAGGAAUGGGAGAAGUGUCAGACGCUAGAGAGCCCCUUCUGGUCCUGGCUAGGGCAAAUUUUAGACAACUAUUUUCUCUGUAAGUGAAGAUUGUCGUAUUCCAAGUCUAAAAUACACCUGGAUCUGUCUAGUCAAUCAAUAUAGCAGAGACAGUCUUAAACCUACCAUUGACCUGUGUGUAAAUUUAAAUGUCAAUUUAUUGAAGUGUAAAUUUCAUCAAAGGCAUUAGCUGACAGGCUGGUAACAGUCCACACAAGAUGGUACAGGCCUGAACAGUGUAGUGGCAGUAAUAAAGUGGGACCAUUUUUUCCAAAUGCGA